UCCUACGGGGCGCAGCAGUGGGGAAUAUUGCACAAUGGGGGAAACCCUGAUGCAGCGACGCCGCGUGAGUGAAGAAGUAUUUCGGUAUGUAAAGCUCUAUCAGCAGGGAAGAAGAUGACGGUACCUGAUUAAGAAGCCCCGGCUAACUACGUGCCAGCAGCCGCGGUAAUACGUAGGGGGCAAGCGUUAUCCGGAUUUACUGGGUGUAAAGGGAGCGCAGGCGGCGUGGCAAGUCAGAUGUGAAAACCCGGGGCCCAACCCCGGGAGUGCGUUUGAAACUGCCAUGCUGGAGUGCCGGAGAGGUA
RNAcentral lists this ribosomal RNA (305 nucleotides) under uncultured bacterium. RNAcentral's name for it is "bacterial SSU rRNA". It matches the Rfam family "Bacterial small subunit ribosomal RNA", at positions 337 to 659 of the family's 1533-position model. The record is from RNAcentral.